This 450-nucleotide ribosomal RNA is filed under the name uncultured bacterium. RNAcentral describes it as "partial 16S ribosomal RNA". It matches the Rfam family "Bacterial small subunit ribosomal RNA", at positions 354 to 796 of the family's 1533-position model. The record is from RNAcentral.
GUGGGGAAUCUUCCGCAAUGGACGAAAGUCUGACGGAGCAACGCCGCGUGAGUGAAGAAGGUUUUUGGAUCGUAAAGCUCUUUCGUUAGGGACGAACGUGCUCUUUGUGAAUAAUGAGGAGUAAUGACGGUACCUAAAUAAGAAGCCACGGCUAACUACGUGCCAGCAGCCGCGGUAAUACGUAGGUGGCAAGCGUUGUCCGGAAUUAUUGGGCGUAAAGCGCGCGCAGGCGGGAUAUCAAGUCUGUCUUAAAAGUGCGAGGCUCAACCUCGUGAGGGGACAGAAACUGGUAUUCUUGAGUGUCGGAGAGGAAAGUGGAAUUCCAAGUGUAGCGGUGAAAUGCGUAGAGAUUUGGAAGAACACCAGUGGCGAAGGCGACUUUCUGGACGAUGUCUGACGCUGAGGCGCGAAAGCUAGGGGAGCGAACGGGAUUAGAUACCCGAGUAGUCC